This 414-nucleotide ribosomal RNA is filed under the name Hydroporus marginatus. RNAcentral's name for it is "partial 12S ribosomal RNA". The record is from RNAcentral. Lineage: Eukaryota; Metazoa; Arthropoda; Insecta; Coleoptera; Dytiscidae.
UUUUACUAAAGUAGUAUUAGUUAUGAUCUUGAAAUUUAAAAAUUUUGGCGGUAUUUUAGUCUAUUCAGAGGAACCUGUUCUAUAAUUGAUAAUCCACGAUAAAUUAUACUUUAUUUAAUAGUUUAUAUAUCGUCGUUAUUAAAUAUUUUAUAAGAAUUAUAAUAUUUAAGAUUUUUAAUUAAAAAAUAUAUCAGAUCAAGGUGUAGUUUAUAAUAAAGUAGAAAUGGGUUACAAUAAAUUGAUUUAUGAAUUUGUAUAUGAAAAUAUAUAAUGAAAUUGGAUUUGAUAGUAAUAAAUUUUAUAUUAAAUUUAUGAUUUUAGCUCUAAAAUGUGUACAUAUCGCCCGUCACUCUUAUUAUAAAAUAAGAUAAGUCGUAACAUAGUAGAUGUACUGGAAAGUGUAUCUAGAAUGAC